UCUGCUCCUUUGCGCCGGGGCGCGUGCGGCGCCAGUGAAGCCCGCUCAGGGAAAGGGCGGCGCUCCCGGGGGCCUUGUGCAGGCCCUGCGGCCGGGGUGCGAACAGGCUCACUCAGUAGGUCUGCGCAGGCAGGAGUGUGAGCAUGUGCAGGAGCCAAUAGGACUGUGUUGGUUUCCUGUUGCCCCUGGGCUGGGGGUGAGCGAGUUGUCGCUGCUGUAGAGCUGUUGCUCCGGGCCCGGGGAACUCAAUAGGUACAGCGGCACACGCGGAAUUUGUGGGUCUGGGAGGGAGACAUUAGUGCUUCUGGGAAAGGUGGGUCGGUCCCAGCAGGGAGGCGGCUCAGUUCGACUCCAGAAGCAUGGCAGGCUCUGGGCCCUUUCGUGUCGUGCUGGCCAUGCUGGAAGGCUGCUAUGCCGAGGUGCUGGGGCUUGAACAGUUUGUGCAGAGGCUCCGGGAGGCGGCUGCCUGCGGGCCUGGCGAAGCUGAACUGUUGCAGCGCGGAGACUCCGAGCUCUACCAGACGUUUGUGUCCCAGUGCGUGGUGUGCGUCCCUCGGGGAGCCCGAGCCAUCCCCCAGCCCCUCUCCUUCCAACAGUUAUCUAGUGAAAGUGAAGUAGUAAUAAGAGUCAUUCAAAGACUUUGUGAAAAAAAGAAGAAGAAUGUCCUUGCAUUUGGGUAUACAUUAUUGGAUGAAAACAGUUCCUAUUCACAGGUUAUAUCUACUUCAAAUAUAUGCAGCUAUCUACCUAAUACUGCAACAGAAACUCUUCGGAUGAGUGUCCUAUGGGAAACGUUAUUGAGCAGGAUAGGGGAUGAUGUUAUGAUGUAUUUAUUGGAACACUGUGCUAUCUUUAUGCUAGUGCCACCUAGUUGCUCUUAUCAAAUAUGUGGGCAGCCUGUGUAUGAGCUUACUUCAAGUAAUGCAGCACCCUCCGCAGUGUUUGUUAAACAAAGGUAUUCAAAAAGUAGACAUAAUAUUUUGUUUGACUACGUGCAAAAAAGAUUUCAGUUAUCAAAGACAAACAGGUGGAAAUGGAAACCAAGAUCAGAAAUUAAUAUCUUGAACACUAAAAGUCAAAGGAAUAAUAAAACACAAGGCUCUGUGCCUGAUUAUGAGCAUUCUGCCACAGCUAAGGGAGCUGUUAGGCAAAAUUCUAAAACAAACAAACAGGUCAGAAUGGCCACUGGACACCUGGAAAAUCGCAGAGGACCUAACCUAUAUCCAGUUGCUACAGCCACACCUUCAAAAAGGAAGCUUGAUAGGGAUCAAUUUGAAGUUACAGCUAAAAGGAUGAAGAUAAACCUAAGGGAAGAAGAGGGUGCUUGGAACCUUGGUUCUAAUGUAGAUAAAAAUAAGUUCACUCUGGACAUCAUUUAUGAUACACAGUCUCUUUCAUUUGUAGAAUCAUUUUCUGUAAAUAACUUUAUUAAAAUAAAGUCUCAAGAAAAUGAGGGCAGAGCAGAGACUCCUGAUGCACCUUCUUUAGUGCAGGAAGCUCAAGAUAGUAAGGAAAAGUCUAUGACAGAUGAUGAGAAUUCGUUAAGGCUGCGUGUUCAGUGUAAUAAACUUUAUAAAUCUAGCACCGAGACUAAAUCAAAUUCCAGCAGAGAGGGAGUUGAGCUAGAUAUCUGUAAAUUUCAGGUUGGUUCUGUACAAACGAAAAAAGCAGAAGAUACAUUUUUAAAAUACAGAGGGCUUAAGUGCCCCCCAACUAAUAUAGCUAAGAAGCUAUCCAAUAAAAUCUCACGUUCCAGAGUGUACAUUGGGAGGAAAGGUCUCUUAUAUUCUUCCAGGAGCUUCCGAGAAUGUUUUCCUAAAUCAUUUUUAUUGAAUCGCUUAAAAGGCUGCCAGGCAGGGGGACGACGACUUGUAGAAACGAUAUUCUUAAACAGCAAAAUAUUGGUGCAAAAAUGCAGUGAAAACACACCAAGUUACAACUGGAGAAAGAAGAGAUUGCCCAGACGCUACUGGCAGAUGAGAGAUGUAUUUCAAAAAUUGUUAAAGAAUCAUGCAAAGUGUCCCUAUUUAGUACUUUUAAAAAAGAAUUGUCCGGUCUGGAUUUCUGAGACAAAUUCAAGCAAAACUGAUACAAUGUGUCAGUCAGUUUCAUGUGAUGGAGUACAGAUUGAUAGGGAAGCAGAAGGUCAACUUGGGAAAGAGCCUCCUAUAUGUUUGACUAGCAAUGGCAGAGAAGGUGGUUACAGUGCUGUUCCAAAUAGUUCGUGUUCACUUUCAAAAAGAACUUCAACUGAUUUAAGUAUCUUAAGCAACCCUGAGAAAUUUGUGUUGGGGCGAACAGAAAAUGAAAGACAAAAUGCUAAAGACUUCUGUGAUCCUAGCUUGAAGGAGCUUCUCAGACAGCACAGCAGCCACUGGCAGGUGUAUGUUUUCGUGCGGGAAUGUUUAGACCUGGUGGUACCAGCAGAACUGUGGGGUUCUAGCCAUAACAAAUGCCGUUUUUUAAAAAAUGUGAAAACAUUCAUCUCCUUGGGAAAAUUUGCCAGGUUUUCUUUGCAGGAAUUAAUGUGGAAGAUGAGAGUGAAUGACUGUACGUGGCUUCGUGUGAUCAAAGGUGAUCAUUUUGUUCCUGCUUUGGAACACCAUUACCGUGAAGAAAUUUUGGCCAAGUUCCUAUACUGGCUUAUGGAUACCUAUAUUGUACAGCUACUCAGAUCAUUUUUCUACAUCACGGAGACCAUGUUCCAGAAGAACAUGCUUUUCUUCUACCGAAAACUAAUUUGGAGCAAGUUACAGAACAUUGGAAUGAGAAACCAUUUUGCCAAAGUGCAUCUUCGUGCAUUAUCUGCAGAGGAAAUUGAAAAAGUACAGCAGAAGAAAUAUGUUCCUAUGGCAUCAAAACUUCGGUUCAUCCCUAAACCAAAUGGGUUGCGACCUAUAGUAAAAGUGAAUAGUGUUUUUGGAGCAAAAACAUUGAACAGGAAAAACAGAGACAAGAAGGUUCAUUAUUUCAACACUCAACUUAAAAAUCUAUUUAGUGUUCUGAAUUAUGAACGAACCGAAAACACCAGUCUUCUAGGCUCCUCAGUGUUUGGGAAAGAUGAUAUAUAUAAAAUAUGGAGGAAGUUUGUUUCUGAAGUUCUUGAAUCAAAUGAUAAAAUACCUCGUUUCUACUAUGUGAAGGCUGAUGUCACUGGGGCUUAUGAUACUAUUCCUCAUGAUAAACUUGUGGAAGUGGUCUCUCAAAUCUUAGAUCCCGAGAAAAGAACAGUCUACUGCAUACGGCGCUAUGCAGUGAUCAAGAUUACCAUGAGUGGACAAAUCAGAAAAUACUAUAGAAGACACGUUUCUACUUUCAAGGAUUUUAUGUCCCAUAUGAGAUUAUUUGUAUCCCAUCUGCAAGAGAGUACAUCGCUACAAAAUGCCAUAGUAGUUGAACAGAGCCUUUCUUUAAAUGAAACAAGCUCCAGCCUGUUUGCUUUUUUUCUGCAAAUGAUCCAUAACAACAUCUUGGAGAUUGAGGGCAGGUACUACUUACAGAGUUGUGGAAUUCCGCAGGGCUCCAUUUUAUCAACUCUGCUUUGCAGUUUAUGCUAUGGAGACAUGGAAAACAAAUUAUUCUGUGGAAUACAGCGAGAUGGUGUUCUCAUUCUUGGAAAUUGAUACCCAUUCAAACCACUGCAAUAUGCCUGCAGCCUUAACUCCACCAUAAUGAAAGUUUGUGCAGGAAUUUCCUUAGAGUCUUUGUUCCACACCCCCAUUCCCUUCUUGAGGUCUGCAGGAAGGGAGCUUCAAUAUUACGUCCUUCAAAGUCCUUAUGAAGGGAGCCCAGCUCCUGUGGAUCUUAGGAGGCUCUGCCUUGGUAAGUAUAUCAACUCUCUAAGUCUUAGGAAAUUUGCCAGAUACUCACCAACGCUACAGGUUUAGGAGGAUUGUAAGAUGUCCCCCAGUCUCUUCCCACAAGCAUUAUGGUUACCUGGCAUGAUCAGUCCUGGGAGGCUUGUGCCAUCGCCCACAUGUGAGAUUUAGGAGGCUCUUUGAGCGCUUCCUGAAAUCCUAGCCUCCAUGAAUGUAAAGAGAUUUACUGCCCUCCCACACCCAUGCACAUACACCAACACCUGCUAGUCUUAAAAUGCUUAUCAGGGCCACAAACUUGCUGUGGGUCUUAGGAGGUUUGUGAGUUCCUACAAUAAACCAUAGCAGGGUCAUGGUCCACCCCCUCCUGAAUCUUAGAGUGGCCUUUGAGUGGCCCCCUAACACACAUUUUACCCUGUGAUCUUUAGGGGAGGCUCUUUGGUGGAAACCCCACACUUCAGGAGUCUUAUUUGUUUAGGGGUCCUUCACUCCUGGCCUUAAUAAGCUACUCAGCCCAGCUGACCCAUAACAGGAUCAUUGAAUCCCUAAUGAGCCAAAUUAGGGACAUGGGUCAUCAUUGGGGUAUAUCUCCGCUCCCUUAGGUUUGCCCCUGCCAUCUAGCCUCCAUAAUCUCCCUGUGGAUUCUUUUCUCCUGUGAACCUUAAGAGACGCGCAGGAGUAUCACUCCACCUGGGUAACUGCAUCAGCCCAUUGUUAAAUAUUAGGAUGCCUACUUCAAUGGCACAGAAGUGAGGAGGCUAGUAGACUUCUACCCAUACCCGUUCUCCACAAGUAUUAGUAACCUGCCAAUACCCACUGCACAAGCCUCCUUAAGUCUUACAGGGGCCCCUGUAGGUUAAUUAAAAUGCCAAUAAGUAGUUAAAGAUUUAUGUAUUGAUUGAGUGAGAACUGGGAGUUAAGCGCCUAGGUGCUUUUCAAGAUCCCACUGUGCACCAAUCUGCAUCUCUAGGCAUAUAAAUACCUUUAAAAAUCUGGCCCUUUGGCUGAGAUUUUCAAAGUAAUCUGAAAGUGUUAGGGUGUCAGAUUUCCACUGAAUUUGAAAAUCUCAGCCUUUUUAAUGAUGCAAUUUAGUACUGGAUUGACAGCGUUGGAAAUCUGAAAUCCUCUGUCUGCAGGAAAUUACAGAACAGGCAGAAGAUAAACAUGCCUAAACUGGUCAGUCAGUCUUAAUUUGUGCUUUUCUGUGGCCAUGAGAAGUAAGUUGCUAUGGUCAUAUAUGAAAUUCUGUUCCAGCUACCUGUAUGUGACCCUGCAUUAUGGCAGACUACAAUACAGAUAUGCUUUAGUUCCCAAGUUCACUAAUUAAAGUUCAUUAUAGGAAAAAAUAGCUAAUUAAAAGUGUGUGUGUGUGUGUGUGUAUAUGUUUGUACACUUAGGCCUAGUUGCAACUAAAACUUAGGUCAACCUAGCUACGUCAUACAGGGGAGUGAAAAAUUCACACCCUGGAGAGAUAUAGCUAAGCUGACCUAAGCCCCAGUAUAGACACCACUAGACUGACAAAAGAAAUUCUUCCAUUGACUUGGCUACUGCCUCUUGAGGGAGUGGGUUUACUACAGUGAUGGAAAAAUCCUUCCAUUGCUGUAGCAAGUGUCAACAUUGUGGUACUACAACUGCAGAGCUGCAGCUAUCCCUCUGUAGUGUCUGAAGCGUAGACAAACACUUGGGGGAACAAUGUAAGAAUGGGGAAAAUUCUCAUUGAAAUUUUAUGUAGGCAAUUUGGAGAUCUUAUUGCUCUCUUUCAUUUUGUGAAUAAAAACUGAAUAAGUACACUAGUCCACAGCCAUCCACUUUAGGAACAACAUAGAAGAAAAGAAUAUUUCCAAAUUAAACAUAAAUUUGUUUUAACUUUUUUUUUUUUUUUUUAAAUUUCCAGAGUGCUGAUACGGUUAAUUGAUGACUUUUUGCUACUUACACCUCACUUAACACUAGCGAAAACUUUUCUGAGGGAUUGCUUUAGGUACCAAAGGUGCUUCUGGGCUAUUUCCUUCUGAAGCAGCAGAAUGGCUUUGCUAUCAUGCUUUCAUUAUCAAACUGACAAACCACAAAGUUGUCUACAAG
Molecule: non-coding RNA, 5894 nt
Organism: Chrysemys picta bellii (western painted turtle)
Lineage: Eukaryota; Metazoa; Chordata; Testudines; Emydidae
Source: RefSeq, a predicted model, not a curated record